RNA transcript from Alosa sapidissima (American shad), 1681 nucleotides. It is a transcript of the gene named LHFPL tetraspan subfamily member 5b, with no coding region annotated. The record is from RefSeq and is a predicted model, not a curated record. NCBI's taxonomy places the organism in Eukaryota, Metazoa, Chordata, Actinopteri, Clupeiformes, Clupeidae. The transcript has 4 exons.
UUUAAGUAGGCUAUAUGUUCACUCACUUUUAACUAUGUUUUAUUUGUACCUGGAAUUUGUUUGCAUGUAGUGCGAUAGUUUAAGUUUAUCCUUUGACGUGCUGGAAUACGUAGGCUAAUUGUUCAGGAGCUGUCUAUGGUGCUGAAUAUAUCGCACUCGUUAUAUCCACUCGACGUGUAGGAAUUAGAGGCAAAUCAGUUGCUCAUAUGAAUGGAAUAACUGUCUUAGGUUCAACCCUGAGAAGGAAAAUCUGAAGGGGAAAAAUAGCAAAUUGAUCACCUCGAAUGACUUUUAUACUCUACAACUUCUACUAAUACACUUUAUUUUGAAAUUGAUGUCUUUUUCGUUUUAUUAGAGUAACCUGAUACCAUUUCACGAUGGAGAAGAUGUUGCCUGCCCAAGAGGCUGCCAAAAUCUACCACACCAACUACGUGAGAAAUGCCAGGGCAAUAGGCGUGCUGUGGGCAGUGUUCACUGUGUGCUUCGCCAUCAUCACUGUCGUGGUGUUCAUCCAGCCGUACUGGAUCGGGGAUAGCGUGACUACCCCUCAAGCAGGGUACUUCGGGCUCUUUCACUACUGCAUCGGAAACCCGCUGACCUCAGAGCUGAUCUGCAAAGGGAGCGUCCUGGACUUCGCCUCCAUCCCGUCCCCUGCCUUUAGGACAGCUUUGUUCUUCGUGGGGACUUCAAUGCUACUGAUUGUUGGGAGCAUAGUGUGCCUCAGCUUGUUCUGGUUCUUCAGCACUGGUAGUGUCUACAAAAUCUGUGCUUGGAUGCAGCUGGCUUCAGCGGCCUUGAUGACGAUGGGCUGCUUGAUUUAUCCUGAUGGCUGGGACGCCCCGGAGGUGAAGCGCAUGUGCGGGGAGCGCACAGACAAGUAUACGCUGGGUAACUGUACUGUGCGCUGGGCUUACAUCCUCGCCAUCAUCAGCAUCCUGGACGCACUCAUCCUCUCGCUCCUGGCUUUCACGCUCGGCAAUCGGCAGGACCAGUUGCUCCCGGACGACUUCGUGGUGGAAAUCCCAGGAGAUGCACCUGCAGAGAAAGCCUGAAAUCGGCCUCAUAAUAGGAGCUUCAACAUGGUGAACUACGGAUCUGGAAACCCCAGCAAGGCACAAUUCCAACUUCAUAGAUGUCCUUAAGAAAAAGGUGAAACUGGUAAUUUUGGGCCAUGACUCAGAUGGAUGUAAAUGGCAAGCUGCGAUGACCUGCUCUAUGUUCUAACUGCAUAGCAGGAUAUGGUUUUAUGGUGGAAACAAAAAAAUUACCACCUCUGAGGGAGCUGUAUGCCCACAGUAGUCCAUGGCCUGCGGAUCAUGUUUAUGCAACAACAGUCCUACAACUCUAAAGAGUUUAGAUCUGUGCACAUUUCCUACCAUGGGUCCACAUAUACAAUGAGUAUAUAUAUAUAUAUAUAUAUAUAUAUAUAUAUAUAUUAUAUUUAUAUAGUUUGCUCAAUAAUUAAUGACUGUUAAGCAGAUAACUACACUAAGCAAGUAGAGGAUUUGAAGCUUCUUUCUGAUAAUGUGAUUUGUAAACAGGAUUGUAACCCAUUAAAAGCUAUGAAGGGCUUUUUAAAUAUGUUUUAACAUGUAACAUUUAACAGAAAGAAAGAAAGCCAGUAGAGUCUCACUGAACGUGUCCCUCUGUAGACAGUGGAAUGAUCUAAAGCAAUAAAGCC